This 501-nucleotide ribosomal RNA is filed under the name uncultured bacterium. Its description in RNAcentral is "partial 16S ribosomal RNA". It matches the Rfam family "Bacterial small subunit ribosomal RNA", at positions 30 to 523 of the family's 1533-position model. The record is from RNAcentral.
AUUGAACGCUGGCGGCAGGCUUAACACAUGCAAGUCGAGCGGAGAUGAGGUGCUUGCACCUUAUCUUAGCGGCGGACGGGUGAGUAAUGCUUAGGAAUCUGCCUAUUAGUGGGGGACAACAUUCCGAAAGGAAUGCUAAUACCGCAUACGUCCUACGGGAGAAAGCAGGGGAUCUUCGGACCUUGCGCUAAUAGAUGAGCCUAAGUCGGAUUAGCUAGUUGGUGGGGUAAAGGCCUACCAAGGCGACGAUCUGUAGCGGGUCUGAGAGGAUGAGCCGCCACACUGGGACUGAGACACGGCCCAGACUCCGACGGGAGGCAGCAGUGGGGAAUAUUGGACAAUGGGGGGAACCCUGGUCCAGCCAUGCCGCGUGUGUGAAGAAGGCCUUAUGGUUGUAAAGCACUUUAAGCGAGGAGGAGGCUACUGAGACUAAUACUCUUGGAUAGUGGACGUUACUCGCAGAAUAAGCACCGGCUAACUCUGUGCCAGCCGCCGCCGUAA